Molecule: ribosomal RNA, 477 nt
Filed under: uncultured bacterium
Lineage: Bacteria
Description: bacterial SSU rRNA
Rfam family: Bacterial small subunit ribosomal RNA
Source: RNAcentral
UGAACGCUAGCGGCAGGCCUAACACAUGCAAGUCGAGGGGUAACGAUGGCUUCGGCCAGGCGACGACCGGCGCACGGGUGAGUAUCGCGUUUGUAACCUACCUCUAACUGGAGCAUAGCCCGAAGAAAUUCGGAUUAAUACUCCAUAAUACUAUGAUCUGGCAUCUUUUUAUAGUUAAAGCUCCGGCGGUUAGAGAUGGGCAUGCGUGACAUUAGUUUGUUGGUGAGGUAAGAGCUCACCAAGACUACGAUGUCUAGGGGGUCUGAGAGGAUGGUCCCCCACACUGGUACUGAGACACGGACCAGACUCCUACGGGAGGCAGCAGUGAGGAAUAUUGGUCAAUGGGCGCAAGCCUGAACCAGCCAUGCCGCGUGAAGGAUGACGGCGCUACGCGUUGUAAACUUCUUUUGUACAGGAAGAAACACUUCUACGUGUAGAAGCUUGACGGUACUGUACGAAUAAGCAUCGGCUAACUCC